GACGAACGCUGGCGGCGUGCUUAACACAUGCAAGUCGAACGAUGAAGCCGGAGCUUGCUCUGGUGAAUUAGUGGCGAACGGGUGAGUAACACGUGAGUAACCUGCCCUCGACUCUGGAAUAACUGCUAGAAAUGGUAGCUAAUACCGGAUACGACCCUCGGAGGCAUCUCCAGGGGGUGGAAAGAAUUUCGGUCAAGGAUGGACUCGCGGCCUAUCAGCUAGUUGGUGAGGUAACGGCUCACCAAGGCGACGACGGGUAGCCGGCCUGAGAGGGUGACCGGCCACACUGGGACUGAGACACGGCCCAGACUCCUACGGGAGGCAGCAGUGGGGAAUAUUGCACAAUGGGCGCAAGCCUGAUGCAGCAACGCCGCGUGAGGGAUGACGGCCUUCGGGUUGUAAACCUCUUUUAGUAGGGAAGAAGCGAAAGUGACGGUAUCUGCAGAAAAAGCACCGGCUAACUACGUGCCAGCCGCCGCGUAA
RNAcentral lists this ribosomal RNA (483 nucleotides) under uncultured bacterium. Its description in RNAcentral is "partial 16S ribosomal RNA". It matches the Rfam family "Bacterial small subunit ribosomal RNA", at positions 28 to 522 of the family's 1533-position model. The record is from RNAcentral.